CACAGGCAGGCAGCAGGGUUAGCUGCGGGAUUCACUUGUUCAAGAAGGACUAGGUGAUUAUAGUCACAGCAAUGUCAAAGUCUUGAAGCUUUAUUUUAAGGGUGAGCAUCUUCUUCCAAGUGCCAGUUCUGGUUUCAUCUCAUUUGCUGCAGAAUUGUAUUUAUUUUGACAGCCUUUCUCCGUCUCCUUCCUUUGAAUCAAAAGGUCGGAACUGGCUUAUUUUUGGCUGUAGUGUUUUGAAAGAAUGCAGGGGGAUCACGUGUAGUGUUUAAGUGAAAUUGACAGAGUUCCCUUAUUUUUAUCAUCAUUUUUAAUUUGAACCAAGACCUCUUAUGAAAGCAUGGCCUGGAUGAUGAUUCGUGUGAGGUCCUCUGCCAGUUUCAGGGUGUAUUAACCGAAACUUGAGACGUGAGAAUGAUAUCGACACCUGAAGGCAUGCCGUGUCAGAGCUCUAACAGUGUUGAUACCGUAAGGCACCACCACUGGAGCUUUGAUAGUAGUUUCGGCACCCUAAGGCACGCCGUGCUGGAGCUCAACGACAGCCGUGCUGCAGAUCGGUGGAAGUCUCACCCACUUCUUUCUUGCUUUCUUCCACUCCUCAAGCUGCUGUGUUCCUCUCCUCCGUCCCCCCUUUUUCCUUUUCAUGAAGUGCUUUUAUAUUGCACCGAUCUUGAGUUUGGUUUGUAUAAAACAUAGAGUUUUAGAGUUCAACUUGGAGUGAACUACUUGGGGAACUUGUAUUUCGUGAAGACUACAACUCUUGUAUUUUGUAAUUGCUUUGUAAUCUAGAUUUUGACAAAACAAGAAGGCUGACGUCUUGUAAAAUCCAAUAGACCAGCUUAAUGACUCUUGUGCUUUUUCCUUUCA
Long non-coding RNA from Rosa chinensis, 867 nucleotides. RefSeq lists it as uncharacterized. The transcript has 2 exons. The record is from RefSeq and is a predicted model, not a curated record. NCBI's taxonomy places the organism in Eukaryota, Viridiplantae, Streptophyta, Magnoliopsida, Rosales, Rosaceae.